This 1706-nucleotide unclassified non-coding RNA is filed under the name Daphnia pulex (common water flea). RNAcentral's name for it is "uncharacterized LOC124202658, transcript variant X2". The record is from RNAcentral. Lineage: Eukaryota; Metazoa; Arthropoda; Branchiopoda; Diplostraca; Daphniidae.
ACAAUGAUCAACAACAAAAGUCAAAAUGGCCAUCGCCCUGUCGGUGUAUCUCUAGUCUCAAUCACCUUUUGUAUCUCUUCAAACCUGUCAAUCAUCGUUCUUAGUUUUAAGUGAUCAGUAAAGUUUCCAAGAAACAAAAACACUUGCAAUAAAGAAGAUUCCUAAAAUCAACUUAAGAAAAAAAUUCAUCAUCAUACUGACAGGAAGAUUUUUCGUAGUUGUUUGUGAAUUGACCCAAACUGUUGAACCUGUUAAGAACAACUUAUUCAUCUCGUUACCAGUAACAUGGCAAAAUUUUCCACAGUCCAGGCAAGAGAAAUUCGAUGUGGGUUAUUCAACAUCAGAUGGGAAUUAAGAAAAGAUUUAAAGGAGAAAGGUUUCUGUCAAGAUUAUGUUAAACUUAAAGUAUACAAGUCAUCCUGGGUCUUUGACAUGGGUUUUGAAUAUUCUGUCGCACUUAAAAAAAGUAAGAAUUUAAACAAAAGUUUUACUGUCAAAGAUGUCAGCCAAGAAGAACUGGAAAACAACUCUGAAGAAGAAAUGGAGGAAGAAGAAGUGGAGGAAGAAGAAGCAGAUGAAUACUCAGUUAAUGGAAAUGAACCAGGAGAUGAUUUUGAUGAAGAUGGCAGUGAAAUUGGUCAUGAAGGUAAUGAAGAAGAUAGCAACAAUGAAGGUGAACACGAUGCUAAAAAACCAGAAGACCAGACGGAUGAGAGUUCUUCCCAUCUCAACAAAACUGAAAUUUGCCCUAUGCAUAUGUGGAUCUACACCUCUGAAUCUGUAUCAGGAAUUGAAAAGCAACUUGUAAAAGAUGAUAUUGAUAAUGGAUGGAGAGUAGAUUGGUGUGACUCUAAAUUACCCGAAUUCAUCAAUCUGUGGAUAGAUUUCGGAACUGAGUCCCCAACAGAAAAGAAUGUCAUCAAAACAAUGAGUGGCCUCGCCAGUAUGUUUCACGAUCAACAUCGGUGUGAUGUCAAAUUCCGCUUCAAAGAUGAAAAAUCCGUUGAUGCACACAUCUUAAUUCUUUCAGUUGGCAGCCCGGUGUUUUCGGCCAUGUUCCAGUCGGGUUUCCUAGAGUCCCAAACGCGUGAAGUGACCAUCACUGAUAUUGAUUUGGAAAUAUUUCUGCAACUUCUCGACUACCUGUACACUGGCAGCGCACCCAAACUCGCAGAUGAAAACAUCACCCAAUUACUCUUCGAGGCUGCGGAUAAAUACUCCGUCGAAAACCUUAAAAGUGAUUGUCUCGAAGCUCUGCAGGAACGAGUGAGACUCGACAACGUCGUCAACUUAUUGGUUUGGUCUAACUUUCACUCAACAAAACCGCUUUUUGAUAUGGCGUUGGAUUUCAUCGUUAACAAUUUUCGCAAGCUCUUUGUCCAAGCCGACUUCGAGGACUUCUUGAAGAAUUAUCCGGAUUUGUGCUUGAUGGUCAUGAAACGUGUCGCUUCCCUUCCGUGCCAAUGCGACCAAGAUGAAACAAUGCCAUCUACAGAAUCGUCAUCUUAAUUUUACGUUUCACCCAAUUUACUCCAAUCUGGGGUUUAUCUAUGCCUACUCGAUCAUUCUGAAUGAAGAGAAAGUAUCGUAAAACUUUUGUUAAUUUACUGAAAAGAUGGCAUCUUUCUCAAAUUUCUUGUUCCUGGUUCUGCUGCUCUUUUGCAUGUUUAAACAUAGUAAUAAAUCACCAAGGUUGACAUGUUAAA